Molecule: long non-coding RNA, 508 nt
Organism: Triticum dicoccoides
Lineage: Eukaryota; Viridiplantae; Streptophyta; Magnoliopsida; Poales; Poaceae
Exons: 3
Source: RefSeq, a predicted model, not a curated record
CUCCUUACCGAUUUGAGAUCCGCACUGGUCUCCUCUCUGCUGGCCAUUCUACGGGAAAGAUCGCUGAGUACUUCAUCUAAAUCUGCCGCAAACGACCAGCACUCUGUGUCAAGAAGUGGGAGUAUUUCCUCCCUCACACAUGCUCCCUGCCUCACAUGUGAUGUCAUGAAAAUGGACGGAUGUGAUAGCGAAGGAACCAGAGGGAAUGAUACUACUGUAUCAGCAAUGGUGUUGAUACGUAGAAGAUACAAAAAUGAGGAAGAUACUAAAAGACACAUAGAUGAGUAACACAGAUGAGAAAUUCAUAUGCCCAUCAUGUCUUGGAUGAGAAACAGUAUGAAAACUUCAAUGAAAAAUUCAGCACUGCCAAACCAUUUGGAAAUGCUACCAGAAAUGAAAAACAAUUAGGGGGUAGAUGCACUAGAGGAAGGAAAGAGGAGCUCCAGUUUGAUCCCAUACUUUGUGUCAUAAUUUCAUAUCGAUUAAUUCUUGUGUCUCAAUGAUUCAC